GUGGGGAAUAUUGCACAAUGGGGGAAACCCUGAUGCAGCAACGCCGCGUGAGUGAAGAAGUACUCCGGUAUGUAAAGCUCUAUCAGCAGGGAAGAAAAUGACGGUACCUGACCAAGAAGCCCCGGCUAACUACGUGCCAGCAGCCGCGGUAAUACGUAGGGGGCAAGCGUUAUCCGGAUUUACUGGGUGUAAAGGGAGCGUAGACGGUACUGCAAGUCUGGAGUGAAAGCCCGGGGCCCAACCCCGGGACUGCUCUGGAAACUGUGAUACUGGAGUGCAGGAGGGGUAAGCGGAAUUCCUAGUGUAGCGGUGAAAUGCGUAGAUAUUAGGAGGAACACCGGUGGCGAAGGCGGCUUACUGGACUGUAACUGACGUUGAGGCUCGAAGGCGUGGGGAGCAAACAGGA
RNAcentral lists this ribosomal RNA (406 nucleotides) under uncultured bacterium. RNAcentral's name for it is "bacterial SSU rRNA". It matches the Rfam family "Bacterial small subunit ribosomal RNA", at positions 354 to 777 of the family's 1533-position model. The record is from RNAcentral.